RNAcentral lists this ribosomal RNA (253 nucleotides) under uncultured bacterium. RNAcentral describes it as "partial 16S ribosomal RNA". It matches the Rfam family "Bacterial small subunit ribosomal RNA", at positions 524 to 776 of the family's 1533-position model. The record is from RNAcentral.
GACGGAGGGUGCGAGCGUUAAUCGGAAUUACUGGGCGUAAAGCGCAUGUAGGCGGUCGAACAAGUCAGGUGUGAAAUCCUCGGGCUUAACCUGGGAAGUGCACCUGAUACUGUCCGGCUAGAGUUUGGCAGAGGAAAGUAGAAUUCCCGGUGUAGCGGUGAAAUGCGUAGAUAUCGGGAGGAAUACCAGUGGCGAAGGCGCCUUUCUGGGCCAAUACUGACGCUGAGGUGCGAAAGCGUGGGGAGCAAACAGG